This 1465-nucleotide long non-coding RNA is filed under the name Capsicum annuum. RNAcentral describes it as "long non-coding RNA (CANN_LNC009856)". Lineage: Eukaryota; Viridiplantae; Streptophyta; Magnoliopsida; Solanales; Solanaceae. The record is from RNAcentral.
CGUCAAGCAAGGGGAGACAUGGUGGGAAGGCAAACAUGGAGAUCGUUGGAAUCGUACUUGGGGAGAGGGCCACAAUGGUUCAGGAUGGGUGCACAAGUAUGGAAAGAGCAGCAAUGGGGAGCACUGGGACACCCAUGUAAAUGAAGAAACAUGGUAUGAGAAGUUCCCUCACUAUGGUUUCUACCAUUGUUUUGAGAAUUCAGUCCAGCUCCGCGAAGUCAAGAAACCUUCUGAAUGGCCAUGAUUAGUACUCUUUCGUUCUUUUGCCACCAUCUACCACUGCUCAAAAUAGUAUGUAGAACAUGUUAUCAGUUCGUUCAGCUUAUCAAAGCUAUUCAAAAAUCCCAACCCGCCCCAGCCAAAUAACCCGACCCAACUAAGACCCGCUCCAAUUCCUUUAACAAAAAAGAAAUUCCUAUUCAUUGAUCCUAAAUCUGCUCAUCUCCUCUCUUUUCUCCACUCCGCCAUCUUCUCAAUCUAAAGCAAACUGUUGGAGUAACAUUCUUGGAGGACAUAUUGCAUAGGUAGACGGGAAGACAUUUUAGGCCCAAUAGGUAGAUGAACAUUUUUGCACCAUUUUAGUUAGUUGAAGGGCAUUUUAGGCCCUUUUCCGUAUUUUCUAUUAUAAAAUGGUACAGCUGCUUUUGACUUAUCAGUAAGUCUUUAUGUUAUAUUUUAUUCCUCACCAAGUAUGGUGCAAAUCCAUUUGGCAGGUGGGGUGAGAUGUAUGAUGGAAAAGGCGGCAACAUAAAAUACACUGAUAAAUGGGCUGAGCGUUUUGAGGGUGAUGGUUGGUCGAGAUGGGGUGAUAAAUGGGAUGAGAACUUUGAUCUGAAUGGGCAUGGCGUCAAGCAAGGGGAGACAUGGUGGGAAGGCAAACAUGGAGAUCGUUGGAAUCGUACUUGGGGAGAGGGCCACAAUGGUUCAGGAUGGGUGCACAAGUAUGGAAAGAGCAGCAAUGGGGAGCACUGGGACACCCAUGUAAAUGAAGAAACAUGGUAUGAGAAGUUCCCUCACUAUGGUUUCUACCAUUGUUUUGAGAAUUCAGUCCAGCUCCGCGAAGUCAAGAAACCUUCUGAAUGGCCAUGAUUAGUACUCUUUCGUUCUUUUGCCACCAUCUACCACUGCUCAAAAUAGUAUGUAGAACAUGUUAUCAGUUCGUUCAGCUUAUCAAAGCUAUUCAAAAAUUGUAUAGGAAUUCCGUUACGUGCUUCUGAUGAAACGUCAUUACUGAUUCUGUCACAAAUAUUAGUUCUGCUCUUGUAAGAUAAGUAGUAGGAGGUCAGUAUAUUUUGAAACAAAUAAGUUGGCCUAUAGUGCCCUAACAUUGCCUUAUGGGAAUCUCCUGUGUGAGUUGAAGCUAAUGAUAGUUUCACUAUCCUGCAACAUGAUGAUGAUGGUUUCACAGUUUAUUUUUGAUAAUUUUUCUAAUAUAAUCCCCUUGUGACCUACGAAUUUAUCGGGC